UUCAUGAGAGACACAUGAAUGCCUCUCAGAGAGAGAGAGGCAAAGACAUAGACAGAGGGAGAAGCAGGCUCCAUGCAGGGAGCCUGAUGUAGCCCCAAGCUGAAGGUGGUGCUAAACCAUUGAGCCACCGGGGCUGCCCCAUCAGAUAUGUUUUAAAAUCACAGCUGUUAGAGCUAGAAAAAAAAUCUCAAAAGAUCAUUUCACUCCAUCCACGGGCUUUAUAAUAACAAGGUAUUGCUCUAUCCAUGUGAGCAUAGUGGCAGCCCCAGAAGGUUAGGGUCAGGUCUCUUGGCACACAGUAGAUUAGGAUCAAGAAGCAACAUGAAGUUAGAUAUCAGUUUCCAGUACCCUUGUACAGGCCUCUAACCACUGUGCCAAGCUGCUUUUCUUCUAAAAAUCAUUCUGUUUGGAGGAUUCAUGGUCAUUCCUAUAUGCAUUCUAGAUUUUUUGAGCAUGCUGUUUGUCUGGCAGUAUGUAGACAAGUAGAAUAAAUGAAGAAAACAAUAUAGUGUCAGUACUUGAGGAGCUCACAAUCCAGCAAGGAGAAAGUUAUCAUAAACAAUGAGCUAUAUAGUAAUUGCAUAGCAAGAGCAAAGUGCUAUGAGGACUAUAAAUUCUGCCAAGAAAGUAGGAAGAAGGUUUCACAGGUUAGUUAAGGCCCAAGGGAUGAGGAGGAAGUAUUCCAUGCAGAAGAAAUCAUGAGAACAAAGAUAUGGAUGUGAGUGGCAUGUUUGAGAAACAGCAAGCAUAAAGCGUGAAAGACAUUCCACAUCAAGAACAAGAGUCUUUGCUUUCACACAAACCUAAUAUGAUAAACUAUUCUCACAACUGUACACAUUUAAGUCAUCUCUGCAUCACACAAGCUUUCUAGAAAAGGACAUAACUACAUUAUCCUUAUCUUUAUAUAUGCUGUUAUCCUUGUCAGAAAAACUCUUCCUCUAUGCCAACUCCCUAAUGUCCCUCCUGGUAGAUCUCAGAUGUUACCACUUCUCCAUCCUCCGGAGGAAAGUUCAUUAUUCCUUCCUUUGUGCUCAAUUUUUUAUAUCUCUUUCUAGAGAGUAUUUUAAUUAUUUGUUUACAUACAUGUCUGUCACCCAAACAAAUCUGCGAAGGUUUCAAAGACAGUUUGCCUUCAGAAAUUGCAUGUUUGAUAAACAUAUGAAUGAACGAAUGAAUGACCUUUUAGAUGGAAAGCUAGGUGGUAAGGAUGACAGAUAAUGUAAAGUUCUCAAGAGAAAUAGACACAUACAUAACUUAUAUGUGGAAGAAUAAUGUUCAGAAUUGAAACCCCCCAGGGAAACAUUUCUACUUGAAUGAAGUCCAUAACUGUGAUCCAAAGAUUUUCACAUAUAAGUGUUUUGGCAUUGAUUUAAAACUCCACUUAGAUUCAUAAACUCAUAUCAUUUUCUUGUUAAAUUCUUAGAGCUCAUAAAGGGUGGCCUGAAAAAGUAGAUCUUUAGGUAUAACUUAGUCAUAUUAAACAGAAGUGUAAGGGGGAGAAAAUGACUGGUCUUUCUUUCAUCACUGGCAUGUAAUUCAUUAUAAAGGUGUUAAACUCAUUGGUAAGUGUGAAAAUGAGAGGAAAUGAGUCUACUGACAAAAAAAUGCAAUGAGACAGUAAACUAAAAUUAAUGCUUCACAAAUCCUUAGCUUCUCAGCCUCAUUGUCUCAAUUUGUUAUUCUCAUGAAUUAUCAAAGUGAAGCAUAGCCACUGCUCCUAAAAAUAAAGAUUUUAUUAAACUUCAUUAUGCACCACAUUGCCUGAAGACAUUGCCACUCCUUUGACCUCAUGAGCUUCUCAAGCUACUCAAUCACAGGGUUAAAGAAAUAUCUCAUUAGCAGUACCUGAUGUCAGCAGAUGGGUUAUUAAACUGCCUGUCACUCAAGCCCUCAAUACCAAAAAAUACCUAGGUCAUCCAAUCCUUUAUGCCACCUCCUUCUCUUUGCAAUAUAAUAGCAGAAACGGUAGUGCCUGGAAUUGUUAUAAAAAUAAUUCCAAAAACUUAGACAUUUCUGGGAUGUCUUUGAGUUGAUGGGAAAGAAGCUACUACCUGCCAGGCAAGCUGCUACACAUCAGUAAAAGAUGAUUGAUAAAUGAUACAUAGUAAUAGUCUGCUCAGACUGCCAUAACAAAACACUACAGACUAGGUGGCUUAAACAGCAGAAACUUACUUUCUCACAGUUU
RNAcentral lists this long non-coding RNA (2185 nucleotides) under Canis lupus familiaris (dog). Its description in RNAcentral is "lncRNA (ENSCAFG00000059182.1, ENSCAFG00845012300.1)". The record is from RNAcentral. Lineage: Eukaryota; Metazoa; Chordata; Mammalia; Carnivora; Canidae.